GGCCGCGGGAAUUCGAUUAGAGUUUGAUCAUGGCUCAGGACGAACGCUGGCGGCGCGCUUAACACAUGCAAGUCGAGCGAGAACCAGGGCUUCGGCCCUGGGGAAAGCGGCGAACGGGUGAGUAACACGUGAGUAACCUGUCCUCGGCACCGGGAUAGCCCGGGGAAACCCGGAUUAAUACCGGAUGGCCUUUCGAGCUCUCGGGCUCGUUAGAAAAGGUAGCUUCGGCCUCCGGCCGAGGAGGGACUCGCGGCGGAUUAGCUUGUUGGUGAGGUAACGGCUCACCAAGGCGACGAUCCGUAGCUGGUCUGAGAGGACGAUCAGCCACACUGGGACUGAGACACGGCCCAGACUCCUACGGGAGGCAGCAGUGGGGAAUCUUGCGCAAUGGGGGAAACCCUGACGCAGCGACGCCGCGUGCGGGAUGAAGGCCUUCGGGUUGUAAACCGCUUUCAGCAGGGACGAAAUUGACGGUACCUGCAGAAGAAGGCCCGGCCAACUACGUGCCAGCAGCCGCGGUAAUACGAAUCACUAGUGAAUUCGCGGCCGCCUGCAGGUCGACCAUAUGGGAGAGCUCCC
This 579-nucleotide ribosomal RNA is filed under the name uncultured Actinomycetes bacterium. RNAcentral describes it as "uncultured actinobacterium partial 16S ribosomal RNA". It matches the Rfam family "Bacterial small subunit ribosomal RNA", at positions 1 to 887 of the family's 1533-position model. Lineage: Bacteria; Bacillati; Actinomycetota; Actinomycetes. The record is from RNAcentral.